This 253-nucleotide ribosomal RNA is filed under the name uncultured Bacteroidota bacterium. Its description in RNAcentral is "uncultured Bacteroidetes bacterium partial 16S ribosomal RNA". It matches the Rfam family "Bacterial small subunit ribosomal RNA", at positions 524 to 776 of the family's 1533-position model. Lineage: Bacteria; Pseudomonadati; Bacteroidota. The record is from RNAcentral.
UACGGAGGAUCCAAGCGUUAUCCGGAUUCAUUGGGUUUAAAGGGUGCGUAGGCGGAAUGAUAAGUCAGUGGUGAAAGCCCUUCGCUUAACGAAGGAACUGCCAUUGAUACUGUCAAUCUUGAGUACAUUUGAUGUGGGCGGAAUGUGUCAUGUAGCGGUGAAAUGCUUAGAUAUGACACAGAACACCGAUUGCGAAGGCAGCUCACAAAACUGUAACUGACGCUGAGGCACGAAAGCGUGGGUAUCAAACAGG